Non-coding RNA from Zonotrichia albicollis (white-throated sparrow), 8549 nucleotides. The record is from RefSeq and is a predicted model, not a curated record. NCBI's taxonomy places the organism in Eukaryota, Metazoa, Chordata, Aves, Passeriformes, Passerellidae.
CAUCAUCAGGCCAAAGACAGGGGAAAACAACAAACUCCACUUAAGAAAGCUGAGAAGAGGGAAGAGCAAUAAGGCCUGUCCUCUCUGUCACCUAGUUAUGCCUCCUGAAGCCUCUUUUUCCCACCAAUGGGUCGGCUAUUCUUUGCUACAGAAGCUUGUUCACUGAGACCAUUCUCUGCGUUCUCGCAGGAUUUUGUGGAGAACAGGAAGAAACACAAAGUCUUGUGUUUGUGGUAUAGCAAAGAAGAGAACUCUGAAGAGCGGCUUUUUAGCUUUUGUUAUGGUUUACCAGUUUUCCAUCACAAGCUGCAAGGAGCAAUACCUGGCCCAGGAGGCCAGAAGAGAGACAAUACCUCAGCAGAUGAGGCUGGAUCUUGAGGCUGAGUAUAAAUGUUUCACACAGACCUGGAUUUUCUAUAGCAAUGAGGAGGGGUGGAAUAAGUUCCUGUCUCUGCCACAGCCCUUCAGAACAAGCAGCUGAAAUUCAUCCUGGUUGGUAACCCAAUACUCACACCUGGCUUUGGAAGAGAAAAAAGUUCUGUGGGGAAGGAAAUUGCCUUAUCAACUCUGCCUUGAAACCACAGACAUGGAGAUGGGCAUCCACACUACCCCAGAGCCCAGUGCAAGGCCCAGCUCAAGAGCAGGCAGAAUCAUCUUGAAAGGCCUGAAAGAAAUAUUUGUGCCAUUCUUGAGGAUAGCUUGCUUCACCAGGUGCCUCUGCAGGUGGAUUAAACUUGGCAGUGCUACAAAUAACAUGGUCCCUGCUGGAGAGUCUGUGUUCACAGAGAAGGAGAGUGGAUGACAAGACCUGUAAGGAGGAGAGAGCAGCUCUGAGACAGGUCCUAAUCAAUGCACCAAAUCUGUAAUCACCAAAAAGUAGGUCUGGACAUACGGAUUCGUAUGAUUGUCCUAACCCAAGAUCACGUUACCAAGUACUUGCUGAACAAAAGGAGCUCAUAUAAAUGUUCCAUAAUUCUAUGGCAUCCUUGGCAAUAUUUCAGCUUGUCAGAAAUUCAAAGUCUGCUGUUUGGGCAAGUAUCCUAGAACACUUGGUUGUUAAGCAGAGAGAAUCCUGUUUGCUGUUGCAGAAUGAGGAAGAUGUGUUCCUGCCAGCACCUGAAUGCACAGUGCCAGCGCCCGAGCCCUCAAUGAGACCUUGGAGGUUGAAAACCACCUUCACAGCUCCUCUGGACAUGAACAAGAGGUGGAAUCCCAUCUGCCAUAGGAGAACUUCACCUGGGAGAAAACUGCAACCUAAUGCAGGAUUGUGCAGAGCAGGCAUUGCCACAUAAGUGACCAAGUAAACUCAGCUUCUGCAGGUUUCAGUGUCAGCCUUGAGCACACAGGUGGAAAGACCCAAGAUGGAUCCUACCAGGAAGAAUCUGAGAGACCUUGGGAAAAAAACAUAACAUCCAGGAUCACCAGCUGGGAAGGCUUGGGCUGAGAAAGGAUUGUGACAGAACAUGUAAAAAAAGGAAGGUGUGGAAAUUUGAAAUUCUAAGAACACGCAGAAGUUUGGAAUGCCAUGAAAAUUUGCCUUGUUUUAGUUGUUGAAUAUUAUAUAAUCUGUCUUCUCCUUGCAGGAGUGCCUAAUUCCUGUAUUAAUUACAGCUUUUGUGGCAUACUGGGGCACUCCUGUGCAUAUUUGCUUCAGAGCUCACCAACCUGGAAGACAUGGCUGAGGUUUGCUCCUUGCCUAAUAGAAAAGUCUGAUCUUGAACAGGUCUGUCUGGCCACUGUAGUGAGUGAUGCUGGCAAUCCUCAUAAAAUGAAAUGUUCAAUAUUCUGUGUGUAGAAUCACAUCCAUUUUCACAACAUCUGGAAUGAUUCCCCUGACAUUUCAGGGUUCUUUAGCUUAAAUGUUCCGUGAAGUCUGUGUACAACUAACAGUUGCUGCUUUUCUUCUGGAGUGCAAAGAGAAUGUACAGUUUUGCAUCCAUUUGUGUGGCUUCUGGGACUUUUUCUGCUUUUAACAUUCUCUGGCAAUGCCUCAUCCUGAGUCUGCCUUUGGCGGCAGCCACAGCACUGAGGGGCCAUGCAGGCAGAAUAAAUAACAAGGCAGUGCUGAGAGGCUUUCCUUGAUAAAAAAUUGCUGUAGGCUGGGCAGAGAGGGGCACAUUUUUUUAGCAAAGAAAAGGCUCCCAUGGCUGCUGCUGUAGGAAACGGAUCCAUUAUUGUCACUCUCUGCUCUGGGAAGGGACAGAAGAACUUUUUGAUUUUCUUUGGUUUUUCUUGUAUAGUCUGCCACAGCAGCCAGUAUUAGCAAAGCCAGACCUGUGCUCAUCUUUUCAAGAUAUCACUUUUAUUUCUGAAUACUGAUUACUCAGGCAGACUGCAAGGCAGAGCUGUGAGAGUUUCAAAAGCAGGGCAACAGAUUGUUGUACUGAAGUGGUAAUGACACGAAAAAUGGAGGCAGGGUACAAGCAAUCCACUUAAGGGACCUGGAAAAGCUGUGAAGAAAAGGAUUGGGCUGAAAGACAGAUGUUAGAUGAAGUUUUUUACUCAGCACUUGUUAGACCACAUCUAGAGUACUGUGUCCAGCUUUGCCUCCUGCAACACCAGAAAGGCACCGAUGACCCAGAGCAAGCUCAGCAGAGGACCUCCAAAAUGAUUGGGACAGGAGCACUUGCCUUAUGAGGACAGGCUGGGAGAGGUGGGCUUCUUCCAUCAGGAGGUACAAGGGCUUUGGAAGGAUUUAACAACAGGUGCCUGAUGAGUACAAGGAAGUCAUGGAAAAGAUGGAACCAAGCUGUUCAUAUUUGGGCACAAUAGUGGAGCAUAGACAGUUGAAUUCUCAUGGGAUUUAAGGAGAAGAUUUUUCACUGCAAGGGCAGCCAGGCAGCAAAGCAAGGAGGCUGUGCAGUCAGUCUCCUCUCUGGGAGGAUUUUGAAGACCCAACUGGAUAAACCUCAAACAAUGUGAUCUGAAGCUUACCUUGUUUUAUGCAGGGGCUUCAGCCAGAUACCUCCUGACCCUUUCCACCUGAGUUACUCUGUGAUCCUGGUUACCAGCCCCUCCAUCCUAGUAAAUAUAAUAACUGCUUUGCACAGCUCACUACAGCUUAGUCAUCACCCAAAACAGCCACUACAUGAACUCCUAACCUCAAGAAAAAAAUGUGCAAGCCUCCUUGCAAUAUUAUAAUUUGUUUAGGAAACAAACCUUGAAAUGUUGACCUCAAUGUCUUCAGCAGAGUUACAGCAGUUCAGAGCUGUGGGGAGCGUGAAACAAUGGUUUCAACUAAGAAAUGUGUUGUAUAAAGCCUGAAAUCUCCUGCUCUCAGGCCAUCAAGGUAAGUUAGUGCUGGGUGCCCUACAUUGCUUAGAGGUCCAGCAAAGUCAAAGACUGGGGUACCAGGAGAAGUUUGAGAUGUUCUUUUCGUUCAGAGUGUGAUGGAGGAAAUGGUGUUGAUCUUCUCAUGCCCUCUGGUUCGCUGUUAUUAUACAUGUAUGAUGGUUCUCUGCUUUGAACCUCACACUUUAAGAUGUAAAUAUAAACCACAGGGCUGGUGCUUUGUAUCAGUGUUAGAGAGAGAGAAACAACAGCAACCAGCUGGAACUUAGCACUUGAGAAAACACAAAGGAAGGUAAAGAAGUUACAGAAAAAAUGGUCUGCCAGGUUUAGCAUAAGAAGGACUUUUUGAGUCAGAGUACAAGCAGAUGAAGUAGUAAAAGACCACUUUGCAAAGUGAAAAUAGGACCAUUCAUAACUUCAAUAGACAAAAAAAGAAAGAAAUUGACAAUAGAUAUUUAUAUUUCGAGAAAAGCAGGCCAUAAUCCUAUGCCACUUCAAAUGUUUUCCAGUCCAUUGAAAAGUUAAAAAAAAUUACCAUGUAUUUAAGAAGAAUGUUUUUAAAUCACCAGACUUUCAUCAAAAUGUACAGCCAAUUGCUUCAAUCCUUCGGUGAUGGUACUGUAAAAAGGAAAAAUGGGUUUAUAUGGCCAACCACCUUGCUAUCCUGAUGUAUGUCCCUUGCAAGAUAUGAGAAAAAUUAACAAGAUUUAAUUAAUGAAGAUGUAAAUAGAUGUAAAAGGUGUGAAUACAAUUUCAUUACAGUCAAUAUGAUGCUGUUAAAAAACAAGGCUUGUCAAUACAGCCUGAUUUUACUAUGAAUUAUGUGUUUGGCUGAUAAUCACUGUCAUGUAGACAUAAAAGAUUUCUAUGGUUUAAUGUGUACUGUUUGCUGGCAUAGAAUAAUCUGAGCUUUUCAAAAAUGAGCAACUGCAUGGCAAGGUUGCAAAAAUGAGCAAUUAGUGUCAAUAAAGCUUGGAUAAGAUGAAUUUAGAACUUGCUAAAUGGCAGAUUGCAAAGCUGUUGCUAACAUAAAAUUUUCUCUGAAUGAGUAUGUUUCUAGUGGCAUCCCAUGGUGGUAUGUACUAGAAACAGUGUUGACCAACCAAUUUCAUCAGUGAUCUGGAAUUAAAUGCAACAUUCCUGUUGAUUUAAAACAAACCUGUGAAUAUUACAUAUGCUGCUGGAAUACAAAUUAUAAUGCCAUAACAACUAUAUGAAACAGUGCAGGGAGUUUAGGUGUAUGAGUGUAAUCAGAUAAAGCUUUUUAAUAUGGCUGAGACUGUAUCUGCAGAAUUGUGGAAGCAGUAUUGACAAGGAGAGUCUCAGAGUUGCCACAGUGCAAGCAGAGUAUUCCUGUGAUGCUCUGGCAAUACGAGCAAAUAUAAUGCUCAGCUAAAUAAACAUGAGAUAAGCAAGCAGGAGCAGGGAAGUCAUUCCACUGGAACUGAAAUAUUGCAUGAAGUCCUGAUGCAGGCAUCUUGAAAAACAUUUUGGAAAAUGAAAAUGUGCAGAGAUGAUUUGAGGCCUGAUGAGUUUGAGAAAAUGGUUUAUUUGUAGAGGGUUUGAUCUAUUUAUUGUGAAGUAGCUUGAUAGCAGCUGAAAUAGGGAAAAAAAAGGAAGGUAGGGGACAGUGAAUACUUAAUCUAGUCAGAAGAUUUCAUUCAGCAAGAAACAAGAAUAGGGUUAUUAAGCCCAAGUUUUGGAAGCCAGAAAGGGUAGUAGGACAAGAAGAUCCACCUUUUUUUUAACACUGGGGGAUGAAUCUUUGAAAAAAAAAAUUUAAAAGGGAUGGUGAAUCUGUUUCUGAAUCUUCACCUCUAUUAAGAAGAAAAUGCCUUGAAAAAUAGUUUUUAGUCAGACAGAGGUCACCUGAUGUGGUAAAAGAAAAACUCCUCCAGCAUUAAUUUGGUUAAACAGACAAGAAUCACUCUGAGAUCUUCCCUCCUGUUACCACUUAGGUCUCAGAGAAGUCCAAGGAUGGGCAUGUGAGGGUAAUUUUGUGCUUGUGCUUUUGUUUUUGGUUUAAAUACCUAAAGCCACCUGUGGGGCUCUCUGUGCUCUAGCAACACUGGUCAUACUCAUCCUUUUUGUUGUAUGUUGAAUGGUUAUCACAGUCUUUCUGAAACAAGAAGUGUCUGUGUCUGUCCCCAAAUUCCCUCCAGGCAGGGAAGAAACACUAGGAAAACAUCCUGCCAACAGAACUUUUUUUUCUGAAACUUGCAAGUAAGAAACAAUUUGUGAAGGAGGUGUGAGCCAUUGUGUUUUCUCUCUGGAAGGAUCCCUUUCCAUAUUAUUGAGACUGGUCUUAUUACAGCCAUCUCCAGCUGGCAGGAAAGUAAUGUAUGUACUCAAUAUCAGCAAACAUCAAUGAAAUGAGCCUUUAGAGCCCCUUACUGUGCUUGAAUCACCUUUACUGAUGCAGUGGGAUACAAACUGCAUUUCCAAUAGCUGUAGCUGAUGGACCUCAGGACCAGAUGGAGGAAACUGCCUGUGACUGGGGAGAGCAAAUUUAAACUGCUCCCGAGUGCCCCAAAAUAACCUCUCAAGCAGUCAUGGUUACAGGAGCAAAAACAGAGCCAGCACUGCCACAGACAUCACCCAGCCAAAAGUGCUCUUCCAGAGAGGCACUUCAUCUGCCUGCAUAAAGCAGGGCUGGGAGUCACUCACCUAAAUGUAGGUCACCUGGGCUGAGUGGUGACCAGGAGAGGCCAGUGCUGAAUGGGCACCAAAGUGUGAUUCAGCCCACCCUAAAAUAGACAUCUAAAUUAAGGCUCCACAGAAGUGUCUUCUCUCUCUCUUGGCUGCACAGGGAGUUUUCUAAGUGGCUCAGCUACAGACUGCUCUGCUGCAGAUGUCUGCCUUCAUUAACUUUUAGGGUCUUAGGACCAACUCAAUUUCUGCCACCUGUCAGCACAAGGAAAGGGCCCUGAUGGGCCACAGUCACACUUGUCAUGUACAGGAAAAGGAGCAGAUGUGAUUUCAUUGUGUUCCACAUGCAAAAAAAGGCACAUUCACACUGGCUGGUGAGCACUUACUGCAAGCAGUGCAGGGAGCCAGUCUGGGCUCUGGCCAUCCAGUCCUUGUUAGCAAUCUUUGGACACUGCUUAUAAAUCAGUGAAAGAGAUUUCUCAGCUUUUUCUCUGCUUGUUACACAUGAGGAUGGAUCCAACAUUGGUAUCAAAAGGUGAAAUGCUCAUUCCACUUUCCAGCUGAGGGCAAACCAAAAACAAACCAGUUCAAACUUUGCACCAGUGACAUGUGGAUAAUACGGUGGUGCAGGUUUUCUGUGUUUUCUGAUUAUAAAUGGCAAUCUGAAGUUAAGGUAGGGCUUCACAUUCCCAGAACCAAAGUGCCACCAGUGGCAUUGUCAGAGGGCUGCAGGAGGAGUGAUGGGCUGGGUGCUGAAAACAGCAUUACUGGAAAAUUUGCACAGAGCUCUGGGGCUUCCCGUGUCCUGUGGGAUGCACUGCUGUUUUUGAAAGCUAUAAAACUAGUCAAGUGACUUGAAAACAUCUCAUUAUUUCAUUCAAUGCGAAAAAUAUAAUCUCUGUUAGAGAUGGACUGUGAAGCAGUAUAACAAAAGCAAAGAUUAGUUCAAGAUUCCUGGCAUUUUUUGUGUGGGAUAUAAUUUUACUUGUGUGAGGACAUUUCCCUGCAAAUGGAACGCUGCAGUUGCAAUGUGAUGGAAAAGAGUAGCGGAAUUUGCUAGACUAACAGAGAAUAAUCUGACACCAAAGAGAAGCCUCUGACCUGUAGAUUUACACCGUUCAAAUAAACGAGAAGCUAGCCAGUAAGCCUCUUAAAAUGCCAACAGUGCUUGAAAAGGGCUAACAAGCGAGUUACCAUGUAAAAAAUGGGACUGUAGAUGACAUCAGAAGCAGCUCUUUGAGCAACUUCAGAAAACCCAGACUACCAUGAAGUUUUACAUGAAAGAGGACCUUAAAUUCCUAAGACACAUGACAUGUCUUAAAAUAAAUAUUUUUAUCUUUCCAAUACACAUCUUCUGUCUUUCAUUGUGGCUCUUGCUUUCACCUCUUGUCUAAGACCAAAUUAAAAGCCAGUAGUAAAUAUCAGUUUUCCAUUCUCACAUGUCACAUGGGCCAGAAGACACUGAGCACUGUGCUUAAAAAUAUUUUCAGAGACUAGACACAGAGGAUGUGUGAUGGAAAGAACCUGAGGACGUGCAUUAUUUCUGUAGUGGAAUAAAUCUUGCAGUAGUACUAGCAGAGGGAAGCAUCCUGGUGGUGGCAGCAAAUAAAAUGGGACAAAUAUGUAUGACAAGCACAGCAUGUCUCAACCCACACUCUGUCAAGUGAGACCCAGUCAGCAGGCAAAGGAGGGUGCACACGGGCAAGUCAGGAUCUGUUCCAGUGGAAGUGGAUAUUGGGCUGGGCCUUGUUACGUGCAAGCACAACUGAUUAAGCAAAAUUGCACUAUUGUGAACUGUGGAAAUUGCUAAUGCCACCAAGGGGAAUGGCCUGUACCAUUUGUGCUUCUCCCAAAUGCAUUUGCUGGAGCCAAGAUGCUGCUUGUGCAUCUGCAGUGCUGCUUCCCUUUGUGCUGGAAUUGUUUCACUCUGAGUUCAUGCUCCCAAAGCCCUGCUCUGCCAUUUGCCCUGUGUUCCUCUCUCCCCCCCAGGUUUUGCUGUAUCAUUGCUCUGACAUGCCCACUAUGAUCAUACCCGACAUUAUCCUGUCUGAUUUUUCUUCCUGACAGCCACUCACAGGAAAUUCUCAUCUGAAGGAGGAUUUGUGAAGACACCGUUGCCUCUGUGUGUUGUCUCUGACUUGUUCCCUUUUUGCAGUUCCUGUCAUAGCUCCUUGCUGCUCAGCCUCAGUUCUCUGAUGAAUCUAAUCUGCUCCUUGACUGAAGAUACCUCCACAGCUGUUACUCAGCACAUAGCAAGGGAGACAGCUCCAUCUUAUUACUCCCUUUUAAAAGCAAGAGCCUCGUGCAGAAUGUUUGCUUUCUUGGGGGUUGGACUAGAUGAUCUCCAGAGGUCUCUUCCAACUCUAAUAAUUCUGUGAUUCUGUAUUUCUUCCCUUUUAAGUCACUCCUUCCUUUGCAAUCUGAGGUGAGGAAUUUCUCAGCCCAGCUUUGGACCCUGGGGUUUGGAGAGAACCAUCAUCUCUGUCAACUUGCACUCAGUCAUCAAAGUCACCUUUUUAAUUUGGAAAAUGUGUUCUCUGUAUUGGUCAACUUCAGUAAACACCUUUAAUGUGACUGUAUGUGUGUGUGUCCAUUCACACUGAGGAAAG